GUAAAUGAGCUAUUACAGCGGGUCUUUUAUGGCUUUGCUGUGCUGGUUGCUUCCCCUCAUCCGGGAAGCAAUUCAGUAAAUACUCAUUUGUGAACUGUGUUUUGUCUCUGGCGGUUGGGUUUCCUGAUUCGUUAGGAGGCCUGUCAACACUCUAUUGGUGUCGUGGACAAGCCGCCAAAUGUUUACUUUAUAAAUAACGCAUUUUUAAAUUUGUUUGUCUUACCUGUUUUUGUUUUGUAUGCAUAAUACAAAAAA
This 255-nucleotide unclassified non-coding RNA is filed under the name soil metagenome. RNAcentral's name for it is "partial internal transcribed spacer 1". The record is from RNAcentral.